This is a long non-coding RNA of Vespa crabro (European hornet), 1141 nucleotides long. RefSeq lists it as uncharacterized. The transcript has 2 exons. The record is from RefSeq and is a predicted model, not a curated record. Lineage: Eukaryota; Metazoa; Arthropoda; Insecta; Hymenoptera; Vespidae.
GAGCCGUUCUGUCGGGGAAACGAGCGGGGGCUCCCAAUAUAAGCGCGUGCAACGUGAUCCUAAGCUGUAACGAGGCUUACGAUUGGUAGACGAUAUGGACCAAUGAAAAAGCGCGUUAGUUCCUGGGCCAAUCUACCUUUUUAGGUGGAGAUGAUAGCGAAAGUGUGACAAGGGGGUGGUGGCGGAAAGGUACUACGAGCGCAGAGUUGUACGUCCGUGAUCGGCUCGACUUGAGUGAGAUGAAAAUAGAUACUAAGAAGAUCGAGACUCCCUUAAGACGAUGCUCAUGGACCAGUCUAGCGCCAUUCCAUCGAGGUGCAUGUCGGAAGGACGCGAAUAAGAUCCGAACAAGAGUGUGGAGAGUAGUUGGUUACUUGUCAGGUGGUGGUAGUCUCCUCGAAUACCCAAGACACGAUCCAUUGCAGCAGCAACGUGUACUCCUGUACGGUCCACGUGGAAGAUGCACGUGGUCAUACACGAUAGAUCGACGAUAACAGCUGCGAAAUAGUUGCACCUUCUCUUCUUAUGAAAGAGAAAUCGAUCGAUCAUUUUUAUGUUUCUUCGGAUAUCUUUUAUAGAUUCCUAAUGAUUCGUCUUUGAUUUUCUUGAUUUUCGGUUUACUGCAUUUUGUUAUAUUUUAUUUUUUUUUUUUUUUUAUUUUUGUCUCUUCUUCUUUCCUUAUUGAUUUAUCAUCUACAUUAUAUUGAAUUGAUUCACUUUCAAUUACUCCCAUUUAAUUUCGAUGCUUUAUUUAUUAUAGUAAAUGUGCUUUUAUGGUUGACUCCAUUUUUCUUUGAUUAUUAUUAUUGUUAUUAUCAUAAUUAUUAUUCUUCCUUUUUUAAUGUACAUAUAUAUAUAUAUAUAUAUAAAUAGUUUUAUUUUUAAGGUGAGAUCAUAUUUGCUAACGUUAAAAUGCUCGAACCAUUAAAUAUUUACCGGAUUUUAAAUGACACAAAUCGUUGCAAUAAAUUUCGUUGCAUGUACCACAUAUAUUGCUCAUGUUAUAAAAUAAAAAUUAUGAAUUUUACGCGUGUAGGAUAGAGCGUUUGGUAGAACGUUUGCAAUGUGAAAUAAAACUUAUAAUAAAUGUUAUAUAUAAUAGACAUUCAAAGUUGUGAUAAUAAAAUUAGUUAAAAAUAUA